UACGUAGGGGGCAAGCGUUGUCCGGAUUUAUUGGGCGUAAAGAGCGUGUAGGCGGUCUGGUAGGUCCGUUGUGAAAACUCGAGGCUCAACCUCGAGACGCCGAUGGAAACCAUCAGACUAGAGUCCGGAAGAGGAGAGUGGAAUUCCUGGUGUAGCGGUGAAAUGCGCAGAUAUCAGGAAGAACACCCGUGGCUAAGGCGGCUCUCUAGUACGGUACUGACGCUGAGGCGCGAAGGCGUGGGGAGCGAACGGG
Molecule: ribosomal RNA, 253 nt
Filed under: uncultured bacterium
Lineage: Bacteria
Description: partial 16S ribosomal RNA
Rfam family: Bacterial small subunit ribosomal RNA
Source: RNAcentral